CCUACGGGGUGCUGCAGUGGGGAAUAUUGCACAAUGGGGGAAACCCUGAUGCAGCAACGCCGCGUGAGUGAAGAAGUAUUUCGGUAUGUAAAGCUCUAUCAGCAGGGAAGAGAAUGACGGUACCUGACUAAGAAGCCCCGGCUAACUACGUGCCAGCAGCCGCGGUAAUACGUAGGGGGCAAGCGUUAUCCGGAUUUACUGGGUGUAAAGGGAGCGUAGACGGCUGGCCAAGUCUGAAGUGAAAGCCCGGGGCUUAACCCCGGAACUGCUCUGGAAACUGUGAAGCUGGAGUGCAGGAGAGGUAAGCGGAAUUCCUGGUGUAGCGGUGAAAUGCGUAGAUAUCAGGAGGAACACCGGCGGCGAAGGCGGCUUACUGGACUGUAACUGACGUUGAGGCUCGAAGGCGUGGGGAGCAAACAGGAUUAGAUACCCUAGUAGUC
Molecule: ribosomal RNA, 440 nt
Filed under: uncultured bacterium
Lineage: Bacteria
Description: partial 16S ribosomal RNA
Rfam family: Bacterial small subunit ribosomal RNA
Source: RNAcentral